Molecule: long non-coding RNA, 288 nt
Filed under: Homo sapiens (human)
Lineage: Eukaryota; Metazoa; Chordata; Mammalia; Primates; Hominidae
Description: HSALNT0005257
Source: RNAcentral
GUCCGCGUCGCUAGCUAGUCGUUCUGAAGCGGCGGCCAGAGAAGAGUCAAGGGCACGAGCAUCGGAUGAGACGUGCAGGUACCAUCAGGAAGCAGCGGGAUAAGCUGAUAAAGGAAGGAAAGUACACCCCUCCACCUCACCACAUUGGCAAGGGGGAGCCUCGGCCCUGAACAGAGCAGCUGCUGAUGUCUGGAGGCUGAUUUUCCUGUUCUCUGUUCUCCACUGGAAAGGUUGUUUACGACAAACCUCCUUGUCAAAGUGUGUAAAAAUAAAGGAUUGCUCCAUCCU